RNAcentral lists this ribosomal RNA (253 nucleotides) under uncultured prokaryote. RNAcentral's name for it is "partial 16S ribosomal RNA". It matches the Rfam family "Bacterial small subunit ribosomal RNA", at positions 524 to 776 of the family's 1533-position model. The record is from RNAcentral.
UACGAGUGCCUCAAGCGUUAUCCGGAAUCAUUGGGCGUAAAGGGUGUGUAGGUGGUUAUAUUAGUCUCCUGUUAAAUUUCUCGGCCUAACCGGGAACCUGCGGGGGAAACGGUAUAACUAGAGGGUGCAAGGGGUCUGCGGAACUCAUAGUGUAGCGGUGAAAUGCGUUGAUAUUAUGGGGAACACCAAAAGCGAAGGCAGCAGACUGGGGCACUCCUGACACUGAGACACGAAAGCGUGGGUAGCGAAAGGG